RNAcentral lists this ribosomal RNA (777 nucleotides) under Gammarus frater. Its description in RNAcentral is "eukaryotic LSU rRNA". It matches the Rfam family "Eukaryotic large subunit ribosomal RNA", at positions 157 to 605 of the family's 3401-position model. The record is from RNAcentral. Lineage: Eukaryota; Metazoa; Arthropoda; Malacostraca; Amphipoda; Gammaridae.
UAAGUCAGCCACGAAUAGGCUAUCCCAACUAACGGCGGGAAAGACUCCACGGAGGGUGUAAGACCCGUGUGGGCGCGUGUCAAAGCUGUGUGGGCUCGGCCUCUUUUCCCUGAGAGUCGCGUUGCUUGAGCAUGCAGCGCUAAGCAGGUCGUAAACUCGAUCUAAGGCUAAAUAUGUCCACAGAACCGAUAGCGAACAAGUACCGUGAGGGAAAGUUGAAAAGCACUCUGGAGAGAGAGUCAAAAGACCGUGAAACCGCUCAGAGUAUAAGCCCAUGGCAGCUUGGAAGGCAUAUCGCUAGCGGGGCAUCGGUCUCCCUUCGCGGGGAGCUGGUGUUACCUUGCUUCUGUUGUGGUUCGUUAUGGUAGGGGGGUCAGGUCCACAUCCCGCCGUCGUGUGGGGAGUUCUCGGGCGCGUUGUGGCUUUGCGGUUGACCUCGGUUGGCCGUGGGGUUCUUCGUGCUUGGUUCUUCUUUAGACACGGACGUUCAGACUCAGUUGCAAGACGCGAUAACCAGCCCACCACGGCACGUUGUGAGGUCACCCUCAGGCUCGACUUUCGAUUGUGGUCCUUGACGCCGAGCAAGCACUGUGCGUGUCGCAGAUGUUCCUAACCAGACAACUUUUGUCAGGAUCGUGGAACGACACGCGCUCAACAGUCAGGACCGGGCGAUGACAGAGUUCUGGUACGAUCCUCAUGCGACGAGCCGCUUUCUGGCCGAUUUCCGAUGCUCAGGUCUCCCGCAUGUGCCGCGGGAGAUCGCCUUGACGGUCUGGA